GGGGAUAUUGCACAAUGGGGGGAACCCUGAUGCAGCGACGCCGCGUGGGUGAAGGAGCGUUUCGGCGCGUAAAGCCCUAUCGGCAGGGAAGAAGGAGGACGGUACCUGACUAAGAAGCCCCGGCUAACUACGUGCCAGCAGCCGCGGUAAUACGUAGGGGGCAAGCGUUAUCCGGAUUUACUGGGUGUAAAGGGAGCGUAGGUGGCAUGGCAAGCCAGAAGUGAAAACCCGGGGCUUAACCCCGCGGAUUGCUUUUGGAACUGUCAGGCUGGAGUGCAGGAGGGGCAGGCGGAAUUCCUGGUGUAGCGGUGAAAUGCGUAGAUAUCAGGAGGAACACCGGUGGCGAAGGCGGCCUGCUGGACUGUAACUGACACUGAGGCUCGAAAGCGUGGGGAGCAAACAGG
This 404-nucleotide ribosomal RNA is filed under the name uncultured bacterium. Its description in RNAcentral is "bacterial SSU rRNA". It matches the Rfam family "Bacterial small subunit ribosomal RNA", at positions 357 to 776 of the family's 1533-position model. The record is from RNAcentral.